This 427-nucleotide ribosomal RNA is filed under the name uncultured bacterium. RNAcentral's name for it is "partial 16S ribosomal RNA". It matches the Rfam family "Bacterial small subunit ribosomal RNA", at positions 355 to 774 of the family's 1533-position model. The record is from RNAcentral.
UGGGGAAUAUUGGACAAUGGGCGAAAGCCUGAUCCAGCCAUGCCGCGUGUGUGAAGAAGGUCUUCGGAUUGUAAAGCACUUUAAGUUGGGAGGAAGGGCAUUAACCUAAUACGUUAGUGUUUUGACGUUACCGACAGAAUAAGCACCGGCUAACUCUGUGCCAGCAGCCGCGGUAAUACAGAGGGUGCAAGCGUUAAUCGGAAUUACUGGGCGUAAAGCGCGCGUAGGUGGUUUGUUAAGUUGGAUGUGAAAUCCCCGGGCGCAACCUGGGAACUGCAUUCAAAAGUGACUGACUAGAGUAUGGUAGAGGGUGGUGGAAUUUCCUGUGUAGCGGUGAAAUGCGUAGAUAUAGGAAGGAACACCAGUGGCGAAGGCGACCACCUGGACUAAUACUGACACUGAGGUGCGAAAGCGUGGGGAGCAAACA